GAAUGAGAGGGCCAUCUGGCCGGAGCAUCUGUUACUGAACUGGUUGCCAGGAUUGUUUCCACUGAUCUGACUGGCUAAGUGGGAGUCCCUUUCCUCCUUAUGUCAGUCCCUCCCAAAGCCUGUGGGUGGAAUGGCGUCUUCCUUUUCUUUGGUCAGGAGUAUCUGAGUCCUGACGCAUGCUUGCUGGAACCUCAAGCCAGCUCUCUUUCACGAGGGACCACCACAGGAAUGCCCUUUCUGCCCACCUCUUGUAAAUAAAUGCAUAAAUAAAUAAAUGCCCUUU
This is an unclassified non-coding RNA of Mustela putorius furo (domestic ferret), 283 nucleotides long. Its record names the gene 7SK. It matches the Rfam family "7SK RNA". From Rfam's summary of the family: 7SK was discovered as an abundant small nuclear RNA in the mid-70s but a possible function has only recently been suggested. Two independent studies have found that 7SK RNA binds the CDK9/cyclin T complex (known as elongation factor P-TEFb). NCBI's taxonomy places the organism in Eukaryota, Metazoa, Chordata, Mammalia, Carnivora, Mustelidae. The record is from Ensembl.